This 661-nucleotide ribosomal RNA is filed under the name uncultured bacterium. Its description in RNAcentral is "bacterial SSU rRNA". It matches the Rfam family "Bacterial small subunit ribosomal RNA", at positions 100 to 761 of the family's 1533-position model. The record is from RNAcentral.
GAACGGGUGAGGAAUAGAUAGGUAACGUACCCUGGACUCAGGAAUAGCGGCGUCCUUCGGGACUUUAGCGAAAGUGCCGGUAAUACCUGAUGACAUCAUCGGAACGCAUGUUCCGUUGAUCAAAGGUCCGCAGGUCUGGGAGCGGCCUAUCUCCUAUCAGCUUGUUGGUGGGGUAAUGGCCUACCAAGGCGACGACAGGUACCAGGCGUGAGAGCGUGGCCUGGCACAUCGGGACUGAGACACUGCCCGGACAUCUACGGAUGGCUGCAGCAACGAAUAUUCCGCAAUGGACGAAAGUCUGACGGAGCGACGCCGCGUGCAGGAUGAAGCGCUUCGGCGUGUAAACUGCUGUCAGGGAUCGGGAAGCAAGUGACCAAUCCCAAAGGAAGCCCCGGCUAAGUCCGUGCCAGCAGCCGCGGUAAUACGGACGGGGCGAGCGUUGUUCGGAAUCAUUGGGCUUAAAGCGUACGUAGGCGGGAUGGAAGGUGUCUUGUGAAAGCCCUCGGCUCAACCGAGGAAUUGCUGGGCAAACCACCAUUCUUGAGGUCAGCAGGGGUACCUGGNAACUUUGGGUGGAGCGGUGAAAUGCGUAGAUAUCCAAGGGAACGCCAGUGGCGAAAGCGGGGUACUGGGCUGAUUCUGACGCUGAGGUACGAAAGCG